UGGUGGAGUGAUUUGUCUGGUUAAUUCCGAUAACGAACGAGACCUUAACCUGCUAAAUAGCCAGAUCGGCUUUGGCUGAUCGCCGGCUUCUUAGAGGGACUGUCAGCGUCUAGCUGACGGAAGUUUGAGGCAAUAACA
RNAcentral lists this ribosomal RNA (138 nucleotides) under uncultured eukaryote. RNAcentral describes it as "partial 18S ribosomal RNA". It matches the Rfam family "Eukaryotic small subunit ribosomal RNA", at positions 1299 to 1458 of the family's 1831-position model. The record is from RNAcentral.